Molecule: long non-coding RNA, 528 nt
Filed under: Homo sapiens (human)
Lineage: Eukaryota; Metazoa; Chordata; Mammalia; Primates; Hominidae
Description: HSALNT0304546
Source: RNAcentral
GAGAAAGAACCCCUUCUUGAAACCCUGCCUUGUGUCCUAAUGUCAUGAGUCUUCUCAGCCCCCUUUGGGGAUGUCCUCAAGAUCAUGGAGGGAAUUCUUCUCCCAUCUUGUGGUUGAAUAUGCUGAGACAGAGGAUAUUGUCCUACUUUCCACCUCAUUCAAGAAGAAGAAAAUGCUAAGUAUGAAUUUCCAGUUUUCUCCAGUCCCUUUCCUGUUGCUAAAUGAAGAUCAUUCCAUCAUUGUGUAUCAAAUGCAGCAUUUGUGAAAAUACCUCCCGAUCAUCUUUCACAGGAAUUCUUUCCAAGUGAGAAAGCCACCAUAAAAGAAGAAGGCCACCAUUGUAUUUAUGAACUAUGCCCUGAUAUAUUUCAGGAGGCUGGUGAACACUCAUUGUAACAUUUAAGACUUUGUACAAUUUAAUCACAUUCAGGAGUAAUGAAUGAAGUUAAGACUGACAUAAAGCCCAGUAUUCUCAGCAGGAUGGCAUGUGGCAAAUUCACAGCAAUAAAAUAACAACAUACAUUGAAA